GCACAAGCGGUGGAGCAUGUGGUUUAAUUCGACGCAACGCGAAGAACCUUACCUGGGCUCGAAAUGGAGUGGACCGGAGUAGAAAUAUUCCUUCCCCGCAAGGGGCUGCUCUAUAGGUGCUGCAUGGCUGUCGUCAGCUCGUGUCGUGAGAUGUUGGGUUAAGUCCCGCAACGAGCGCAACCCUUAUUACCAGUUGCCAUCAUUAAGUUGGGCACUCAGGUGAGACCGCCUCGGAUAACGGGGAGGAAGGCGGGGAUGACGUCAAGUCCUCAUGGCCUUUAUGUCCAGGGCUACACACGUGCUACAAUGGCCGGUACAAACCGUCGCAAACCCGUGAGGGGGAGCUAAUCGGAAAAAGCCGGCCUCAGUUCGGAUUGGAGUCUGCAACUCGACUCCAUGAAGCUGGAAUCGCUAGUAAUCGUGGAUCAGCAUGCCACGGUGAAUACGUUCCCGGGC
Molecule: ribosomal RNA, 456 nt
Filed under: uncultured bacterium
Lineage: Bacteria
Description: bacterial SSU rRNA
Rfam family: Bacterial small subunit ribosomal RNA
Source: RNAcentral